UCCUAUUAAAUAAUUAUUUAUUCCUUUUAUUGAAAAGAGGGGGGGGGGAAAAUAGAAUC
Molecule: transfer RNA, 59 nt
Filed under: Candidozyma auris
Lineage: Eukaryota; Fungi; Ascomycota; Pichiomycetes; Serinales; Metschnikowiaceae
Description: tRNA-Ser
Source: RNAcentral